GCUCUUGUAGCUCAGUGGUAGAGCGCGUCCUUGGUAAGGACGAGGUCGGCGGUUCAAAUCCGCUCAAGAGCUCCA
This 75-nucleotide transfer RNA is filed under the name Verrucomicrobiaceae bacterium R5-34. Its description in RNAcentral is "tRNA-Thr". It matches the Rfam family "tRNA". Rfam says of the family: Transfer RNA (tRNA) molecules are approximately 80 nucleotides in length. Their secondary structure includes four short double-helical elements and three loops (D, anti-codon, and T loops). Further hydrogen bonds mediate the characteristic L-shaped molecular structure. tRNAs have two regions of fundamental functional importance: the anti-codon, which is responsible for specific mRNA codon recognition, and the 3' end, to which the tRNAs corresponding amino acid is attached (by aminoacyl-tRNA synthetases). tRNAs cope with the degeneracy of the genetic code in two manners: having more than one tRNA (with a specific anti-codon) for a particular amino acid; and 'wobble' base-pairing, i.e. permitting non-standard base-pairing at the 3rd anti-codon position. RNAcentral also lists the same sequence under 1 other name. The record is from RNAcentral. Lineage: Bacteria; Pseudomonadati; Verrucomicrobiota; Verrucomicrobiia; Verrucomicrobiales; Verrucomicrobiaceae.